AUAACGGUCCUAAGGUAGCGAAAUUCCUUGUCGGGUAAGUUCCGACCUGCACGAAAGGCGCAACGACUUGGGCGCUGUCUCGACCAUGGACCCGGUGAAAUUGCACUGGUCGUGAAGAUGCGACUUACCCGCGGAAGGACGGAAAGACCCCGUGAACCUUCACUGCAGCUUGGCAUUGGCCGCUGGUCCCGCGUGUAGAGGAUAGGCAGGAGGCAUCGAUCCGGAGGCGCCAGCCCCCGGGGAGCCGCCCUUGGAAUACUGCCCUCGCGCGACCGGCGUCCUAACCCGAGGCCGUCAACCGGCUCGGGGACCGUGCCAGGCGGGCAGUUUGACUGGGGCGGUCGCCUCCUAAAGGGUAACGGAGGCGCGCGAAGGUCCGCUCGGGACGGUCGGCAACCGUCCUUUUGAAUGCAAGAGUACAAGCGGGCUUGACUGCGAGGCCCACAAGCCGAGCAGGUGCGAAAGCAGGCUCUAGUGAUCCGGCGGCCCCGAGUGGGUGGGCCGUCGCUCAACGGAUAAAAGGUACUCCGGGGAUAACAGGCUGAUCUUGCCCAAGAGUCCACAUCGACGGCAAGGUUUGGCACCUCGAUGUCGGCUCAUCGCAUCCUGGGGCUGGAGCAGGUCCCAAGGGUACGGCUGUUCGCCGUUUAAAGCGGUACGCGAGCUGGGUUCAGAACGUCGUGAGACAGUUCGGUCACUAUCCUCCGUGGGCGCAGGAGAAUCGAUGGAGGCUGCCCCCAGUACGAGAGGACCGGGGUGGACGCACCUCCGGUGAACCGGUUGUCGACCAACGGCACGGCCGGGUAGCCGCGUGCGGCGCGGAUAACCGCUGAAGGCAUCUAAGCGGGAAGCCGUUCCAGGGAUUAGUUCUCCUUCCGGUAAGGGCCCAGGUAGACUACCUGGUCGAUAGACGGCAGGUGCAAGGACGGCGACGUCCUCAGCCGAGCCGCACUAAUCGCCCGAGCUCUUCCGGAA
This 975-nucleotide ribosomal RNA is filed under the name human gut metagenome. RNAcentral's name for it is "bacterial LSU rRNA". It matches the Rfam family "Bacterial large subunit ribosomal RNA", at positions 1942 to 2925 of the family's 2925-position model. The record is from RNAcentral.